UUUUGAUUUUGAUGACUAUCCAAAGUCAGGUGACGGAGAAUUUUUUCUGGGUGUUGCUUUUCAUGUAGAUCUUGAAGAUGACGAUGAUGAAUUUACUAUAGGCUGCAAAGAGGCCCUUGUCUAUGCUAUCGAGGAACAGAAUAGAAAGGUGUGUUGCUAAUCUUAGAUGCUAAAUAUUGUAACCGAUUAUACAUAAAUAGUUAUUUUGCAUAUAUUUUUUAAUUGUACUUAACUUAGAGUUUUUUUUUUCUAUGUUUCGGAUUAUUAAUUACAUAUCCAUCUUAAAUUUUAUUUAACAAAAUGUUUGUGUAGGGUGCAAAUCUGAUACUCCUUGAUAUUAUCAAGGCAAAUCGCGAAUCAGUUGCUUUGUAUCACAUAACUUUCAAAGCUGAAGAUGUUUCUCUUGGAGAAGUGAAAGUUUAUCAAACUAGAGUCUUCCAUAGUUUAGUUCCUGGUCACAAGGAGACUGUAGUACAUAUUUUCAGGCUAAAAGAACCAACAAACAAAGGUAAUUGAUUUAUGUUAAUAGUUAGCUUAUUUUUUUUAUUUUCUGUUGUCUUUUAUAUAGCUUUGUCUUUUUUAUAUCUUCUGUGUUAUUUGCUUUGACAACCUUUUUAUGGUUGAUAUUACCUGGUAUUGAUGGGAUAAUUGUUGCACUUUUUUCCCUGUGGUUCAGAAUUAGCAUUACCUAAACUUGAGUUUGAAAUUAAUUAUAAUUUAUCUAUGCUGUCUAUAACAUUCACUCCCAUAAUUCAGCUAAUUUGCCUGUGCUGUUACUUUUUUGCCUUUUAUUUAAUGAACAAGCUAACUGAUGCUUAUUUGUUUAUUUACUGUAGAUGAUAAAGCUGAUUGAGAUAUGAGGAUAAUUGAAGGUGCUUUAUGCAAAAAUUGACAGCAUGUCUAUGGGGUUGCUUUUACAACUUUUUCUGUUUAAAGAAUCUGUAGAUGAUGGGGACAAUAGUUUGAUAUGGUUGAGAAUUAGUCUUUCCGGUCUCAAUAUUUUAUGGAUAGAUCAUGAAAUUUUUAUCUUGGAAAAUAAUUUGAUUUUGUUUGGAGUCA
Molecule: long non-coding RNA, 1059 nt
Filed under: Manihot esculenta (cassava)
Lineage: Eukaryota; Viridiplantae; Streptophyta; Magnoliopsida; Malpighiales; Euphorbiaceae
Description: long non-coding RNA (MESC_LNC006337)
Source: RNAcentral